GAUGAAGAACGUAGCGAAAUGCGAUAAGUAAUGUGAAUUGCAGAAUUCAGUGAAUCAUCGAAUCUUUGAACGCACAUUGCGCCCUCUGGUAUUCCGGGGGGCAUGCCUGUUCGAGCGUCAUUAUAACCACUCAAGCUCUCGCUUGGUAUUGGGGUUCGCGGUUUCGCGGCCCCUAAAAUCAGUGGCGGUGCCUGUCGGCUCUACGCGUAGUAAUACUUCUCGCGAUUGAGUGCGAUAGGUCUACUUGCCAGUAACCCCCAAUUUUUACAGGUUGACCUCGGAUCAGGUAGGGAUACCCGCUGAACUUAAGCAUAUCAAUAAGCGGAGGA
RNAcentral lists this unclassified non-coding RNA (329 nucleotides) under soil metagenome. RNAcentral's name for it is "partial contains 5.8S ribosomal RNA, internal transcribed spacer 2, and large subunit ribosomal RNA". The stretch from base 1 to 120 matches the Rfam family "5.8S ribosomal RNA", at positions 35 to 154 of the family's 154-position model. The record is from RNAcentral.